AUUCCGAAGGAAUAGAGUAAGGCCUCUACCUUAAGUGCUGCUAACGAGGCCACUAUUCCUGAUAAGGAAUAGAGUAUGGCCUCUACCUUAAGUGCUGCUAACGAGGCCACUAUUCCUGAUAAGGAAUAGAGUAUGGCCUCUACCUUAAGUGCUGCUAACGAGGCCACUAUUCCUGAUAAGGAAUAGAGUAUGGCCUCUACCUUUCCUAAGCCCGUAUUCCCUCCUGGG
This 228-nucleotide long non-coding RNA is filed under the name Arachis ipaensis. RNAcentral describes it as "long non-coding RNA (AIPA_LNC000331)". The record is from RNAcentral. Lineage: Eukaryota; Viridiplantae; Streptophyta; Magnoliopsida; Fabales; Fabaceae.